Molecule: non-coding RNA, 149 nt
Organism: Bradyrhizobium manausense
Lineage: Bacteria; Pseudomonadati; Pseudomonadota; Alphaproteobacteria; Hyphomicrobiales; Nitrobacteraceae
Source: Rfam
CGAGACCGGAUGGUUUGGGAGAACCCGACGGCCUCGUUCACGGGAUCGGCCAAGGCGCUUGGGAGAGCGAGAUGGCAGGUCUCACGCAAGGGGAGAUUGACCGAUGCAGAAUGCGCUUCUGAUCGGAUUGUCACGGCAGAUGACGUUGG